Molecule: ribosomal RNA, 512 nt
Filed under: uncultured bacterium
Lineage: Bacteria
Description: partial 16S ribosomal RNA
Rfam family: Bacterial small subunit ribosomal RNA
Source: RNAcentral
GAUGAACGCUGGCGGCGUGCCUAAUACAUGCAAGUCGAACGAACCUUCUUUAUCACCGAGUGCUUGCACUCACCGAUAAAGAGUUGAGUGGCGAACGGGUGAGUAACCCGUGGGCAACCUGCCCAAAAGAGGGGGAUAACCCUUGGCAACAGGUGCUAAUACCGCAUAACCAUAGUUACCGCAUGGUAACUAUGUAAAAGGUGGCUAUACUACCGCUUUUGGAUGGGCCCGCGGCGCAUUAGCUAGUUGGUAGGGUAAAGGCUUAACAAGGCAACGAUGCGUAGCCGAAUUGAGAGGUUGAUCGGCCACAUUGGGACUGAGACACGGCCCACACUCCUACGGGAGGCAGCAGUAGGGAAUCUUCCGCAAUGGGCGAAAGCCUGAUGGAGCAACGCCGCGUGAGUGAUGAAGGUCUUCGGAUCGUAAAACCCUGUUGUUAGAGAAGAAAGUGCGUGAGAGUAACUGUUCACGUUUCGACGGUAUCUAACCAGAAAGCCACGGCUAACUACGUG